GCCCGGGUGGCGAAAUCGGUAGACGCAGCGGACUUAAAAUCCGCCACCUCUCACAGGGUGUACGGGUUCGAGUCCCGUCCCGGGCACCA
This 89-nucleotide transfer RNA is filed under the name beta proteobacterium AAP51. Its description in RNAcentral is "tRNA-Leu". It matches the Rfam family "tRNA". Rfam says of the family: Transfer RNA (tRNA) molecules are approximately 80 nucleotides in length. Their secondary structure includes four short double-helical elements and three loops (D, anti-codon, and T loops). The record is from RNAcentral. Lineage: Bacteria; Pseudomonadati; Pseudomonadota; Betaproteobacteria. RNAcentral also lists the same sequence under 2 other names.